GGGGGCGGUUGGGGUCUGGUGGCCCUCGCGGUCUUCAAAACCGUUUGAGAGGCGGGCAACUCCCGUCUCUGGUGGGUUCGAUUCCCACGCGCUCCCGCCA
RNAcentral lists this transfer RNA (100 nucleotides) under Armatimonadota bacterium. RNAcentral describes it as "Armatimonadetes bacterium tRNA-Sec". It matches the Rfam family "Selenocysteine transfer RNA". Lineage: Bacteria; Bacillati; Armatimonadota. The record is from RNAcentral.